CCUACGGGUGGCUGCAGUGAGGAAUAUUGGUCAAUGGGCGCUAGCCUGAACCAGCCAAGUAGCGUGAAGGAUGACUGCCCUAUGGGUUGUAAACUUCUUUUAUAGGGGAAUAACGUGCAGUAUGUAUACUGCUUUGCAUGUUCCUUGUGAAUAAGGCUCGGCUAACUCCGUUCCAGCCGCCGCGGUAAUACGGGGGGUCCGGGCGUUAUCCGGAUUUAUUGGGUUUAAAGGGAGCGUAGGCGGGUUCUUAAGUCAGUUGUGAAAGUUUGCGGCUCAACCGUAAAAUUGCAGUUGAUACUGGCAUCCUUGAGUACAGGAGAGGUAGGCGGAAUUCGUGGUGUAGCGGUGAAAUGCUUAGAUAUCACGAAGAACCCCGAUUGCGAAGGCAGCCUGCUGGACUGUAACUGACGCUGAUGCUCGAAAGUGUGGGUAUCGAACAGGAUUAGAUACCCUUGUAGUC
RNAcentral lists this ribosomal RNA (460 nucleotides) under uncultured bacterium. RNAcentral's name for it is "partial 16S ribosomal RNA". It matches the Rfam family "Bacterial small subunit ribosomal RNA", at positions 338 to 795 of the family's 1533-position model. The record is from RNAcentral.